CCGAUCCGCCCUCGGCUUUGUAGGACUACCCGCUGAACUUAAGCAUAUCAAUAAGCGGAGGAAAAGAAACCAACAGGGAUUGCUCUAGUAACGGCGAGUGAAGCACAACAGCUCAGAUUUGAAAGGCCUC
This 130-nucleotide ribosomal RNA is filed under the name Sphaeronaemella helvellae. RNAcentral describes it as "partial 24S ribosomal RNA". It matches the Rfam family "Eukaryotic large subunit ribosomal RNA", at positions 1 to 126 of the family's 3401-position model. Lineage: Eukaryota; Fungi; Ascomycota; Sordariomycetes; Microascales. The record is from RNAcentral.